This 85-nucleotide transfer RNA is filed under the name Felis catus (domestic cat). It matches the Rfam family "tRNA". Rfam says of the family: Transfer RNA (tRNA) molecules are approximately 80 nucleotides in length. Their secondary structure includes four short double-helical elements and three loops (D, anti-codon, and T loops). Lineage: Eukaryota; Metazoa; Chordata; Mammalia; Carnivora; Felidae. The record is from Rfam by way of RNAcentral.
GCCUGGGUAGCUCAGUCGGUUAAGCAUCUGACUUUGGUUCAGGUCAUGAUCUCACGGUUCAUGAGUUCAAGCCCCACCUCAGGCU